CAUGUGCACACCUUGUCAUCUUUAUAUCUCCACCUGUGCACCUUUUGUAGACCUUUCCAGGUCUAUGUUGCUUCAUUUUACCUCAAUGUAUGUUAAUAGAAUGUUGUGCCUAUAAAAUAUAUACAACUUUCAGCAACGGAUCUCUUGGCUCUCGCAUCGAUGAAGAACGCAGCGAAAUGCGAUAAGUAAUGUGAAUUGCAGAAUUCAGUGAAUCAUCGAAUCUUUGAACGCACCUUGCGCUCCUUGGUAUUCCGAGGAGCAUGCCUGUUUGAGUGUCAUUAAUAUAUAUCAACCCUUCUCAUUGUUGAAGUGGUUUGGAUGUGGGGGUUUGCUGGCCUCUUGAAUGAGUUCAGCUCCCCUGAAAUGCAUUAGCAGAACAACCCUGUUCAUUGGUGUGAUAACUAUCUACGCUAUUGGAUGUGAGGGGCAGUUCAGCUUUCUAAUGGUCCUUGGACAAUUUAUCAUUUAUGUGACCUCAAAUCAGGUAGGACUACCCGCUGAACUUAAGCAUAUCAAUAA
RNAcentral lists this ribosomal RNA (519 nucleotides) under uncultured Cortinarius. Its description in RNAcentral is "eukaryotic LSU rRNA". The stretch from base 125 to 278 matches the Rfam family "5.8S ribosomal RNA". Lineage: Eukaryota; Fungi; Basidiomycota; Agaricomycetes; Agaricales; Cortinariaceae. The record is from RNAcentral.